This 484-nucleotide ribosomal RNA is filed under the name uncultured bacterium. RNAcentral describes it as "partial 16S ribosomal RNA". It matches the Rfam family "Bacterial small subunit ribosomal RNA", at positions 30 to 507 of the family's 1533-position model. The record is from RNAcentral.
AUUGAACGCUGGCGGCAGGCCUAACACAUGCAAGUCGAGCGGAUGAAGGGAGCUUGCUCCUGGAUUCAGCGGCGGACGGGUGAGUAAUGCCUAGGAAUCUGCCUGGUAGUGGGGGAUAACGUCCGGAAACGGGCGCUAAUACCGCAUACGUCCUGAGGGAGAAAGUGGGGGAUCUUCGGACCUCACGCUAUCAGAUGAGCCUAGGUCGGAUUAGCUAGUUGGUGGGGUAAAGGCCUACCAAGGCGACGAUCCGUAACUGGUCUGAGAGGAUGAUCAGUCACACUGGAACUGAGACACGGUCCAGACUCCUACGGGAGGCCGCAGUGGGGAAUAUUGGACAAUGGGCGAAAGCCUGCUCCAGCCAUGCCGCGUGUGUGAAGAAGGUCUUCGGAUUGUAAAGCACUUUAAGUUGGGAGGAAGGGCAGUAAGUUAAUACCUUGCUGUUUUGACGUUACCAACAGAAUAAGCACCGGCUAACUUCGUG